RNAcentral lists this ribosomal RNA (467 nucleotides) under uncultured bacterium. Its description in RNAcentral is "partial 16S ribosomal RNA". It matches the Rfam family "Bacterial small subunit ribosomal RNA", at positions 28 to 506 of the family's 1533-position model. The record is from RNAcentral.
GACGAACGCUGGCGGCGUGCUUAACACAUGCAAGUCGAACGGAAAGGCCCUGCUUUUGUGGGGUGCUCGAGUGGCGAACGGGUGAGUAACACGUGAGUAACCUGCCCUUGACUUUGGGAUAACUUCAGGAAACUGGGGCUAAUACCGGAUAGGAGCUCCUGCUGCAUGGUGGGGGUUGGAAAGUUUCGGCGGUUGGGGAUGGACUCGCGGCUUAUCAGCUUGUUGGUGGGGUAGUGGCUUACCAAGGCUUUGACGGGUAGCCGGCCUGAGAGGGUGGCCGGCCACAUUGGGACUGAGAUACGGCCCAGACGCCUACGGGAGGCAGCAGUGGGGAAUAUUGCACAAUGGGCGGAAGCCUGAUGCAGCAACGCCGCGUGCGGGAUGACGGCCUUCGGGUUGUAAACCGCUUUCGCCUGUGACGAAGCGUGAGUGACGGUAAUGGGUAAAGAAGCACCGGCUAACUACGU